RNAcentral lists this ribosomal RNA (700 nucleotides) under uncultured bacterium. Its description in RNAcentral is "bacterial SSU rRNA". It matches the Rfam family "Bacterial small subunit ribosomal RNA", at positions 8 to 702 of the family's 1533-position model. The record is from RNAcentral.
AGAGUUUGAUCCUGGCUCAGAACGAACGCUGGCGGCGCGCCUAAUACAUGCAAGUCGAGCGAGAAGACGUAGCAAUACGUUUGUAAAGCGGCGAACGGGUGAGGAAUACAUGUGUAACCUACCCUCGAGUGGGGAAUAACUAGCCGAAAGGUUAGCUAAUACCGCAUACGACUCUUGAUCUGCGGAUCGAGAGGGAAAGCGAUACCGUGGGUAUCGCGCUCUUGGAUGGGCUCAUGUCCUAUCAGCUUGUUGGUGAGGUAACGGCUCACCAAGGCUUCGACGGGUAGCUGGUCUGAGAGGACGAUCAGCCACACUGGCACUGCGACACGGGCCAGACUCCUACGGGAGGCAGCAGUAAGGAAUAUUGCGCAAUGGGCGACAGCCUGACGCAGAGACGCCGCGUGGGGGAUGAAGGUCUUCGGAUUGUAAACCCCUUUCGGCAGGGAAGAUGGAACGGGCAACCGUUCGGACGGUACCUGCAGAAGCAGCCACGGCUAACUUCGUGCCAGCAGCCGCGGUAAUACGAAGGUGGCAAGCGUUGUUCGGAUUUACUGGGCGUACAGGGAGCGUAGGCGGUCGGGUAAGCCCUCCGUGAAAUCUCCGGGCCUAACCCGGAAAGUGCGGAGGGGACUGCUCGGCUAGAGGAUGGGAGAGGAGCGCGGAAUUCCCGGUGUAGCGGUGAAAUGCGUAGAGAUCGGGA